CAGAGUUUGAUCUGGCUCAGGAUAAACGCUGGCGGCGCACAUAAGACAUGCAAGUCGAACGAACUUAACCAUUAGUUUACUAUUGGAGCGGUUAGUGGCGGACUGGCGAGUAACACGUAAGCAACCUGCCUAUCAGAGGGGAACAACAGUUAGAAAUGACUGCUAAUACCGCAUAUGCCUUAGAAUCACAUGGUUCGAAAGGGAAAGGAGCAAUCCGCUGAUAGAUGGGCUUGCGUCUGAUUAG
RNAcentral lists this ribosomal RNA (244 nucleotides) under uncultured bacterium. RNAcentral describes it as "partial 16S ribosomal RNA". It matches the Rfam family "Bacterial small subunit ribosomal RNA", at positions 8 to 244 of the family's 1533-position model. The record is from RNAcentral.